This is a long non-coding RNA of Salvia miltiorrhiza (redroot sage), 1035 nucleotides long. RefSeq lists it as uncharacterized. The record is from RefSeq and is a predicted model, not a curated record. The transcript is spliced from 4 exons. Lineage: Eukaryota; Viridiplantae; Streptophyta; Magnoliopsida; Lamiales; Lamiaceae.
UUAAAACAAUUGUGUAAUUUAAUUAAAGAAAAGGUGAAAAGUCGAAAAUUGGCAAAACAAAAAUACAAAAAUAAAAGGAAAAGCCCUAGUUAACGUCUACAAUUUAGAAGACAACCGCCUGUCGCCGCUCCUUACCCACGCCGUCGCCGGUCAUUUCCCACGCCGUCGCUGCCACUUUCUCAUCCUGGCGCCUCCACUUUCACCAACCUGACGACGCCGCCUCCCUUCUACCAUAACCCACUACAUCUCCACCUAAAUCUCCCUCUCUCUAACAUGGCGAUGUUGCCGGCUACCUGCCGGACGAGCUGGGCUUGCUGAUCUAUCUGGCGCUCUGCCCACAUUAACUCCAACAGAUUCUACGGCCUCGUUCUGGAAUACCUUCUACAUUCCAGUUCAAGAUAUUAUUUUGGGGCGUUUCAGAUUUCUCACUUCUCUUAAGGGGUUUGACUAAAAAAGAGAGGAGAAAUUCCUGACAAAUUUCAACUUCUGCUAGCUGAAAUUCUGCAAUGGAAAGACGAGCAGAACCUCUAUUUUCGAAGCUAUAGAAGAAGUAUCAGACUACAAGUUGCCAUCUCAGAGCAGGAUGAAGGGCAGCGCUGAUGGAAAAACUGUAGGCCCAUCAGGCUGUAUGGAAAUCGUUCACACUACAAAUUUCUUGAUUUUGGUUGAUGUUAUGCUCUAAAACCUGGAAAAGGAUACUGAUGUUGUAGAUGCCAAAAUUGGCGAUGAUGGCGGUUGCUUGAUAGGAAUUGUUAUGACAAAGUGACUCCAGAGAGGUUGCAUCUGAUGCUUCGUACCUCAAAGCUACCUUAGAUGGAAGCUGGUUGGAUGGUUGAAUUUGUUGGAUGAAUGGUGGUGAAUGUUGAAGGUUGGAGAUUGUAUUGGAAGUUGGAGAUUGUAUUAGAGGUUUUUUAGUAGAUAAAUGAAGGCGUAGUUAGAGAUGAUACAAUUAUGAAUGUAAUGUCUUUUGAUGAAAUACCAAACAAGAUGUUUGACUUUUAUGAUAUUAAUCGAGUUUUUAUUAAUUAUUUUUUA